AGGCAAGCUCUCCUCUUGCAGGGAAGG
RNAcentral lists this non-coding RNA (27 nucleotides) under Mus musculus (house mouse). The record is from RNAcentral. Lineage: Eukaryota; Metazoa; Chordata; Mammalia; Rodentia; Muridae.